This 253-nucleotide ribosomal RNA is filed under the name uncultured bacterium. Its description in RNAcentral is "partial 16S ribosomal RNA". It matches the Rfam family "Bacterial small subunit ribosomal RNA", at positions 524 to 776 of the family's 1533-position model. The record is from RNAcentral.
UACGAGUGCCUCAAGCGUUAUCCGGAAUCAUUGGGCGUAAAGGAUGUGUAGGUGGUUGUGUUAGUCUCUUGUUAAAUUCUUCGGCUUAACCGGGGGCAUGCAAGGGAAACGGCACGACUAGAGGAUGCGAGGGGUCUGCGGAACUCAUAGUGUAGCGGUGAAAUGCGUUGAUAUUAUGGGGAACACCAAAAGCGAAGGCAGCAGACUGGAGCACUCCUGACACUGAAACAUGAAAGCGUGGGUCGCGAAUGGG